This 1344-nucleotide ribosomal RNA is filed under the name uncultured bacterium. RNAcentral's name for it is "bacterial SSU rRNA". It matches the Rfam family "Bacterial small subunit ribosomal RNA", at positions 28 to 1381 of the family's 1533-position model. The record is from RNAcentral.
GAUGAACGCUGGCGGCGUGCUUAACACAUGCAAGUCGAACGGAAAGGCCUCUGCUUGCAGGGGUACUCGAGUGGCGAACGGGUGAGUAACACGUGGGUGAUCUGCCCUGCACUUCGGGAUAAGCCUGGGAAACUGGGUCUAAUACCGGAUAGGACAAUGGUUUGGAUGCUGUUGUGGAAAGUUUUUCGGUGUGGGAUGAGCUCGCGGCCUAUCAGCUUGUUGGUGGGGUAAUGGCCUACCAGGGCGUCGACGGGUAGCCGGCCUGAGAGGGUGUACGGCCACAUUGGGACUGAGAUACGGCCCAGACUCCUACGGGAGGCAGCAGUGGGGAAUAUUGCACAAUGGGCGCAAGCCUGAUGCAGCGACGCCGCGUGGGGGAUGACGGCCUUCGGGUUGUAAACUCCUUUCGCUAGGGGCGAAGCGUUUUUGUGACGGUACCUGGAGAAGAAGCACCGGCUAACUACGUGCCAGCAGCCGCGGUAAUACGUAGGGUGCGAGCGUUGUCCGGAAUUACUGGGCGUAAAGAGCUCGUAGGUGGUUUGUCGCGUCGUUUGUGUAAGCCCGCAGCUUAACUGCGGGACUGCAGGCGAUACGGGCAUAACUUGAGUGCUGUAGGGGAGACUGGAAUUCCUGGUGUAGCGGUGGAAUGCGCAGAUAUCAGGAGGAACACCGAUGGCGAAGGCAGGUCUCUGGGCAGUAACUGACGCUGAGGAGCGAAAGCAUGGGUAGCGAACAGGAUUAGAUACCCUGGUAGUCCAUGCCGUAAACGGUGGGCGCUAGGUGUGAGUCCCCUCCACGGGGUUCGUGCCGUAGCUAACGCAUUAAGCGCCCCGCCUGGGGAGUACGGCCGCAAGGCUAAAACUCAAAGGAAUUGACGGGGGCCCGCACAAGCGGCGGAGCAUGUGGAUUAAUUCGAUGCAACGCGAAGAACCUUACCUGGGCUUGACAUACACCAGACCGGGCCAGAGAUGGUCUUUCCCUUUGUGGUUGGUGUACAGGUGGUGCAUGGUUGUCGUCAGCUCGUGUCGUGAGAUGUUGGGUUAAGUCCCGCAACGAGCGCAACCCUUGUCUUAUGUUGCCAGCAAUUCGGUUGGGGACUCGUGAGAGACUGCCGGGGUUAACUCGGAGGAAGGUGGGGAUGACGUCAAAUCAUCAUGCCCCUUAUGUCCAGGGCUUCACACAUGCUACAAUGGUCGGUACAACGCGUCUGCGAGCCUGUGAGGGUGAGCUAAUCGCUGUAAAGCCGGUCGUAGUUCGGAUUGGGGUCUGCAACUCGACCCCAUGAAGUCGGAGUCGCUAGUAAUCGCAGAUCAGCAACGCUGCGGUGAAUACGUUCCCGGGCCU